RNAcentral lists this ribosomal RNA (465 nucleotides) under Vreelandella stevensii. RNAcentral describes it as "partial 16S ribosomal RNA". It matches the Rfam family "Bacterial small subunit ribosomal RNA", at positions 338 to 795 of the family's 1533-position model. Lineage: Bacteria; Pseudomonadati; Pseudomonadota; Gammaproteobacteria; Oceanospirillales; Halomonadaceae. The record is from RNAcentral.
CCUACGGGUGGCUGCAGUGGGGAAUAUUGGACAAUGGGGGGAACCCUGAUCCAGCCAUGCCGCGUGUGUGAAGAAGGCCCUCGGGUUGUAAAGCACUUUCAGUGAGGAAGAACGCCUGGUGGUUAAUACCCAUCAGGAAAGACAUCACUCACAGAAGAAGCACCGGCUAACUCCGUGCCAGCAGCCGCGGUAAUACGGAGGGUGCGAGCGUUAAUCGGAAUUACUGGGCGUAAAGCGCGCGUAGGUGGCUUGAUAAGCCGGUUGUGAAAGCCCCGGGCUCAACCUGGGAACGGCAUCCGGAACUGUCAAGCUAGAGUGCAGGAGAGGAAGGUAGAAUUCCCGGUGUAGCGAUGAAAUGCGUAGAGAUCGGGAGGAAUACCAGUGGCGAAGGCGGCCUUCUGGACUGACACUGACACUGAGGUGCGAAAGCGUGGGUAGCAAACAGGAUUAGAUACCCGUGUAGUC